This 258-nucleotide long non-coding RNA is filed under the name Vigna radiata. Its description in RNAcentral is "long non-coding RNA (VRAD_LNC014944)". Lineage: Eukaryota; Viridiplantae; Streptophyta; Magnoliopsida; Fabales; Fabaceae. The record is from RNAcentral.
AAUAGCAUUCACAAUAUCAAAGAAGCAUUACCUGAAAUAUGGGAGAUUGAAGAAGGCAACCAACAGCAAAAGAUUCAACCCCCAGCAGUGGAAACCAUGGUCCUAGCUUGAGUUUUGCGUCAAUGAAAGAUUUUAGCACACUUAUCAAGCAAUCACGGGUUUCAACCUAAGCUUGUGUCUAUAUAAAAAUUUACAAUAAGUUUGAAAUCUCUCCAUAUCAUGGCGAUGCUUAACUAUAUAGAUCUUCAAGUUGGCACG